UAGCUGAGACAUUAAGGUUUAGAAAAGUGACCAAACCUAAAAUGAGACAAUCGCUUAUCUUGUAAAUAUGGGCACUAGUGAGAUGCUCACUAGAGGUUAAUGAAAUGCCAUUCUUGGGGCCCUCUACACCCAGAUUGCAACUAGGAAAGCUAGGCUCACUCAGAAUGUCUAAAAGAAAUUCUUAAGAGCUAAAGUUAAUUUUUGUGUCUUACUAAUGCAAUGAACAAUCCAAAGCCACACAAGACAGGUUCUUUGGCAGAAAGAAAAAUAAUGACAAGGGUAUAAGAAACCUUUUUAUCUUCAGCAUUUAUGAACCUAGAUAAAUGGAUAAUUCAUUUGAAAUGAAACUCAAAAAUCAAGUAGAAGCUCCUCUCCAAAUCAGGCCAGUCAGAUUAUCCUGGAGCGGAUUCUAUGUGAAGUCACAGGUCUUGGUGCCCUAGGGCAGCCCUUUGCUGUGGGUGUGCCAGGGGAACCUGAGCUAUGGUUUAAAGGCCUUCAAGAUGAGGCCAGAAAUUUCUCUUAAGUGCUCAGUAUCUUGUGUGUGUGUGUGUGUGUGUGUGAUACUGGGGACUGAACCCAGAGGCCCUCCACCACUAAACUGUAUCUCUAGUCCUUUCUUUUUAAGUUUUACUUUGAGACAAGGUCUCACUGAAUUGCCGAAGCUGGCCAUGAAUUUGGAGUCCUCCUGCCUCAGCCUCCCAGGUCACUGGGAUUAUAGGCGUGUGCCUCUUCUCCCGGCAGUGCUCAGUAUCAUAAUAGAAAGAUUUAUAAGAGCUCCAGAGAGAAGGCAUUUGUGAUAAAGCGGCGUGGGAAAACUCACGUGCAGGAUUUUCCAAAUUUGUUCUUGUACCAUGGAAUUUUGGUGUAUCAGUAAAGUUCAGUUUCUGAAAUAGCCCAUUAGUUGCUCACACACUGGGUAAGAAAACGAUACUAAUGUUCCCAGUGGAAGGCAAGUCAGGCCUGGCUGCUUUGUUGGAUUUCUCAGCUCUAUUAACAGUGCAUGGUGGUUGACAAUGCAGAUUGCUCU
This 1027-nucleotide long non-coding RNA is filed under the name Marmota monax (woodchuck). The record is from RNAcentral. Lineage: Eukaryota; Metazoa; Chordata; Mammalia; Rodentia; Sciuridae.